RNAcentral lists this ribosomal RNA (279 nucleotides) under uncultured bacterium. RNAcentral's name for it is "partial 16S ribosomal RNA". It matches the Rfam family "Bacterial small subunit ribosomal RNA", at positions 506 to 784 of the family's 1533-position model. The record is from RNAcentral.
UGCCAGCAGCCGCGGUAAUACGAAGGGUGCAAGCGUUGUUCGGAUUUAUUGGGCGUAAAGCGCGCGCAGGCGGAUGAUUAAGUCAGAUGUGAAAUCUCGGGGCUCAACCCCGAAACUGCGUCUGAAACUGGUUAUCUAGAAUCUCGGAGAGGGAGGUGGAAUUUCGCAUGUAGGGGUAAAAUCCGUAGAGAUGCGAAGGAACACCAGAGGCGAAGGCGACCUCCUGGACGAGUAUUGACGCUGAGGCGCGAAAGCGUGGGGAGCAAACAGGAUUAGAUA